Molecule: long non-coding RNA, 1156 nt
Organism: Folsomia candida
Lineage: Eukaryota; Metazoa; Arthropoda; Collembola; Entomobryomorpha; Isotomidae
Exons: 2
Source: RefSeq, a predicted model, not a curated record
UAAAUUUGAGAUGGACUUGCUUUUUUAAAGUGGCUUCUUGUGAUUGCACAAGCACAAAAUUAUUGCAACACCGUGUGCUGUGCAAGAAAUUGAGUGCAGUUGUGAGAUGACGAGUCUCGCUCUCUCUCGCUGCGAGGAAAUGACGAUGAGUCAAAAUAUUUACAUGUGUCUCACACAAGUUGUCUCAUUUUUACCUCAGCCGUUCACAUUAUGAUAGAACAAGGCUCCAUCACACGCUUAAAUUUACAUAUUAACAAAGUCUCAUCCAGCAUUUGAAAGUCGUCAUUCGUCACUAAUUUUAGCAUUAGUAUUAAGAUUAUGGUAUACACAGUUAGCAGUAAUAAAAUAUAUAAGGUAUAUAUAUCUAUUAUCGAGUAUAAGAUUACUGAGGUGGGCAGACAAAUUACAACCGUUGACUGUGGUUGGUUAAGACAAAAUAUUAGAAAUUCUCCUCGUGUAUGGAGAAGCUUGCUUGGUUCUUAUUGUGUUACAGAGACUACUGGAAAUUCCACAACGUUGGGCAGCGAGAAGGAGGGAUCUGAUCAUCGUCAGGAUAAUUGUAGGCCUGCGACUUUCUCUUUGGUUAUCUAGCUGUAUGAGCGUCCUGCAAUAACCUCAUAAAGCUAGGUUACCAAGGUUAAAGCCUGACCUAAAAGUCAUCUCUCGUCCAUGCUUCCAUUCAACGCCCUUUACGAAUAAUGGAGUUUGAAAAUGAACAAAUUUAUUGCUUUAUUAUCAAAACAAUCCAGAAAGAUAGAACAUAUGAACACCACCGAAAAUUACAAAACUUAACAACAAAAGUACUCCUAAUUUUAGUGACAUUGUUAACAAAUAGAUAUUUAUUUAAUAUAUUUAGUAAUUUUCUUCGUAGAUAUACACUUUGUUUUAAGGAUCAAUUGAAACGUACAUGUAGUCAAUGUAGAAUUAUAUAUAAAUUAAUAAAAUUAAUAAUAAUUGUAGAAUUAUUUUGCUGCCUACUAUAUAGAUGUAUCAUCUUUUUGGUGUUUGUAGAUACAUACGUACACAUAGUCAAAUUGCCAGUUGGAGAUGAAGAGAUGAUAAUACAUACUGUGUCACGCAGCUACAAAAAUUAUAACUAAAUUUCACUGGUCAAAUUAUUGAACUCUAAAUGACACAAUGGGUUUGACAAUAAUAU